AAGGUCAGAAGAGGCUCCCUAAAGAUGAGAGCAAUGUAACACCAUAAAUUCCAGAGUGUUCGAGAACCCAUUGAAGCCCUGCAGGUGGGGCAACUGGCACCCCAUAUGGAUGAAACCACCUCUUGAGGAUUCAGAUCGUCGUCUCCCGGAGGAAGAUCAAGGCCUUGGUGAAAUUGUUGGAUCCCCCUGAAAUCGCCCGGUUCAGGACGGGAUCCCGGAGGAGAGCGAAGACAACGCAGGACCUGUUGUAGGCCUGCUCCUGGUCCUUGCCUUUGGGCCAUGGGCAAUUUCCUGGCUCACUCAGUUCAUCCGAAGCCAAAUAACAGACCUGCUGGCCAGGCAGAUCAAGGUUUAUGACCACUGCUUUGAUAUGCAGGACUCCAGGGUUGAAAUUUUGUCUGACGAGAGAUGCCCCACACAGACCCCUUCACUCGGGGAAGACUGCAACUGUGUGUGGGAAAAAGGCUCGCUCAAGGCAUGAUUGGAGUGCAGCUGGGACUGCACAGGCUGGGGACCAUGGUACACCAAAAUCCCAAGAGCCUGGAUUAUAUGACCUGUUGCAUAGCGGUUGUGCAGUAGCAACCUUGCGCUUACCCAUUUCUGCUCCCUCAAAAAACU
Peromyscus eremicus (cactus mouse) is the source of this 618-nucleotide long non-coding RNA. RefSeq lists it as uncharacterized. Lineage: Eukaryota; Metazoa; Chordata; Mammalia; Rodentia; Cricetidae. The record is from RefSeq and is a predicted model, not a curated record. The transcript is spliced from 3 exons.